UACGGAGGAUGCGAGCGUUAUCCGGAUUUAUUGGGUUUAAAGGGUGCGUAGGCGGGCUUUUAAGUCAGCGGUAAAAAUUCGGGGCUCAACCCCGUCGUGCCGUUGAAACUGAUGUUCUUGAGUGGGCGAGAAGUAUGCGGAAUGCGUGGUGUAGCGGUGAAAUGCAUAGAUAUCACGCAGAACUCCGAUUGCGAAGGCAGCAUACCGGCGCCCAACUGACGCUGAAGCACGAAAGCGUGGGUAUCGAACAGG
This 252-nucleotide ribosomal RNA is filed under the name uncultured bacterium. RNAcentral's name for it is "partial 16S ribosomal RNA". It matches the Rfam family "Bacterial small subunit ribosomal RNA", at positions 524 to 776 of the family's 1533-position model. The record is from RNAcentral.